GUCGAGAAUUUUUCUCAAUGGGCGAAAGCCUGAAGGAGCGACGCCGCGUGGGGGAUGAAUGGCUUCGGCCCGUAAACCCCUGUCAUUUGCGAUCAAACCCCGUUAUUUAAAAGAUGACGGGCUGAUAGUAGCGAAAGAGGAAGGGACGGCUAACUCUGUGCCAGCAGCCGCGGUAAUACAGAGGUCCCAAGCGUUGUUCGGAUUCACUGGGCGUAAAGGGUGCGUAGGCGGCCGGGUAAGUCUGCUGUGAAAUCCCGCAGCUCAACUGCGGAACUGCAUUGGAUACUAUCCGGCUAGAGGAAUGGAGGGGAGACUGGAAUUCUCGGUGUAGCAGUGAAAUGCGUAGAUAUCGAGAGGAACACCAGUGGCGAAGGCGAGUCUCUGGACAUUUCCUGACGCUGAGGCACGAAAGCCAGGGGAGCAAACGGGAUUAGAUACCCCUGUAGUCC
RNAcentral lists this ribosomal RNA (449 nucleotides) under uncultured bacterium. RNAcentral describes it as "bacterial SSU rRNA". It matches the Rfam family "Bacterial small subunit ribosomal RNA", at positions 354 to 796 of the family's 1533-position model. The record is from RNAcentral.